Helianthus annuus (common sunflower) is the source of this 2678-nucleotide long non-coding RNA. RefSeq lists it as uncharacterized. The transcript is spliced from 4 exons. The record is from RefSeq and is a predicted model, not a curated record. Lineage: Eukaryota; Viridiplantae; Streptophyta; Magnoliopsida; Asterales; Asteraceae.
CCAACUCUUUGGCUAUUUCUCUCUCUAAAAUGUUUUUAUUAAGGUGAAUCAUUUCCUUGUGGAUCUUAGUCAAAAAGAUCCUCACCAAUAUAAUAUCGUAGUCUAUCAGAAAAGAUGAGUCAUCCUAGUGAAGGCCGGGCAUGGCAUCAUUUUAACUCAGUCUUUCUUGAUUUUGCAAAGGAGACACGCAAUGUUCGUCUCAGGCUAUGUACCAAUGGAUUUAGUCCAAAUAAUACAAGCGGGGCACCGUAUUCAUGUUAGCCAGUGUUUAUCACGGUUUACAACCUGCCUCCUUGGUUGGCUUUGAAAGAGAAAUAUGUACUAAUGCCUUUGCUCAUUCCCGGUCCAAAUAAUCCCACACAAAAUAUCGAUGUUUUUCUACAACCUUUGGUAGAUGAGCUGAAAUUGUUGUUCACACAUGGCAUUGAGACUUAUGAUGCCCAUGCAUGCAACAAUUUUCAAAUGAAGGUCGUACUGCUAUGGACAGUUAGUGACUUUCCUGCUUAUGCAAUGUUGUCCGGAUGGAGCACACAUGGUAAGUUAGCUUGCCCAUGUUGCUCAAAUAAAUCAGGAUCUUUCCAGCUUCAUUUUGGAAGGAAACCCUGUUGGUUUGACUGCCAGAGACAACAUCUUCCAACAAAUCAUGCUUUUCUGAAAGAUAAGAUUAACUUUUGGAAAAAAACAAGACGGUUUCGAGUGUAAGAGAUAUUCCAGAGCCAACUGGAGAGGAAAUAUGGCAGGAUAUAAAAGAUUUUCCCAUUGUUUAUGAUGUUAAACCCCGUGGUACUAAAAAAUGUAGAAAACCGCCGGGUUUUUGGGAUUACAUAUAAUUGGGCAAAGAGAAGCAUCUUUUGGGAACUUCCGUAUUGGGGUAAGUUGUUGAUUCGGCACAACCUCGACGUGAUGCAUAUCGAGAAAAACGUAUUUGAAAAUUUGUUUAACACAAUCAUGGGCACCAGCUAUACUAAGGACAAUAUGAAGGCAAGGCAAGACAUGUAGGAAAUUUGUAAUCGACCUCUUUUAAACCCAAAAUGUGAUAAAAAUGGGAAUAUGGCUAAAGAUAGGGGAGAUUACACUCUGAAAAAAGAUGUCAUUAAAAAAGUAUGUGUUUUGUUGAAAAAGCUUAAAUUUCCAGAUGGGUAUGCGUCAAACAUAGGGAGUUGUGUGAACAUGAAAGUCAACAUUUUUCAUAGCUUCAAAAGUCAUGACUGUCACGUGUUUAUGCAACGGUUGCUUCCACUUGCUAUUAGAGGUUUUGUCUCAAAAGAUACAUACGGGGCUGUAACAGAGUUAUGCAUGUUCUUUCGUGUCUUAUGCUCAAGAACGUUGCAUGUAGAUGAUUUCGUUAACAUGAAACGCGACAUUGUUAAAACGAUAUGCAAGUUGGAGAAAAUAUUCCCACCCAGUUUCUUUGAUUCCAUGGAGCACCUGGUCAUACAUCUAGCUAACGAAGCUCUUCUUGGUGGUCCAGUGCAAUACAGAUGGAUGUAUCAAUAUGAGAGGAAACUUGGCUAUAUGAAAAGAAGAAUCCGAAACAAAUCAAAGGUUGAGGGUUCAAUCAUGAGGGAACACCUAGUGAAUGGAAUUGAAACUUAUUGUUCUCUGUACUUUGACCUGUCGAUUGAGACACACCAUAAUCGAGAGCCGCAGAAUUUCGCGACGCAAUAUUCUAGCUCUUUGAGGGGAGGCUCUCAAUUGAGCGUGUUUGUCGUUCCAUCGAGACGAUUAUAUCAAAAGGGUGGAAAGCGGAGACGCAUGAGUAAAGAAUAAUUAAAAAAGGCGCACACCUAUUUUCUUUUAAUUUGUGAAGAAAUUUACCCUUACAUUGACAACUUUGACGAAGUGGCGCAACAAUUGUAUCCGGAUGAGCCAGAGUUUCUUCUCAGAUAUCACCAUUUUGCUGAAUGGUUUGAAAAAUAUAUAAUGAAUGGCUUAAUUGAUGGAAGCACUGACAUUUGGAAGUUUUUGCAAGAGAACCAUCAUUGUAUGCUCAGUCUCACGAUGGGUACUUUGUAAAUGGUUAAAAGUUCCACACACGGAAGCAUGGUAAAGGACUUGUAACCUCAAACUUCGGUGUCUACAUGAGAGGGGAAACAUAUAGUACAGAAGAGUCUGACUACUACGGCUUAUUGGAUGAGAUAUUAGAGCUCCAAUAUGAUUGCAAUGUGUCUCAAACUGUUGUGUUGUUUAAAUAUGCAUGGUUUGAUAACAAACAUGGUGUAAUAGUUAACAAAAACAAGUUAGUUGAUGUCAAUCAAAAGUUCCAACUUCAAAGUGAUGACCAAUUUAUCUUGGCAUCACAGGCGGAACAAGUGUUUUACACACCAUAUCCCGCCACAACACGCGAUACAAAAGAUCUAGGGGCGGUUGUCAAGACAAAAGCGCGAUACAUUUAUGAAGUUACCGAUGUCACAAACGACGGAAACACGGAAGCCCAUGAUUUUCUUCAGACUGAUGAACGGUACGAGUUACCGAAUGAUGCAACUAAUAGUGAACCUUUGGACCCGGAUACAUUUUAUGACAAUGAUGAUGACGACGAUGACGAUGACGAUGAAAUGGUUUAUUCAGAUCACUCUUCAGAUGAAGAUGAAGACGAAGAUGAACGUGAUUGUUAGGAACAUAAAUUGUUUGUUGUUAUACGUGCAUUUGGUAAGAACAUAAAUUGUUUGUUAUUGUAC